GGCUACGGCUCAACCGUAGUAAGCUCUUGAAACUGGGAGACUUGAGUGCAGGAGAGGAGAGUGGAAUUCCUAGUGUAGCGGUGAAAUGCGUAGAUAUUAGGAGGAACACCAGUUGCGAAGGCGGCUCGCUGGACUGUAACUGACGCUGAGGCACGAAAGCGUGGGGAGCAAACAGGAUUAGAUACCCUGGUAGUCCACGCUGUAAACGAUGAGUACUAGGUGUCGGGGGUUACCCCCUUCGGUGCCGCAGCUA
This 253-nucleotide ribosomal RNA is filed under the name Clostridioides difficile. RNAcentral's name for it is "partial 16S ribosomal RNA". It matches the Rfam family "Bacterial small subunit ribosomal RNA", at positions 600 to 854 of the family's 1533-position model. Lineage: Bacteria; Bacillati; Bacillota; Clostridia; Peptostreptococcales; Peptostreptococcaceae. The record is from RNAcentral.